AUGAACGAUUACGUUUUGCGUUCCUGUGUUUUGUGUUCGCCAUCUGGUUUUGAAUUUGGAUUACGGAGACGGGGAGAGGCCAGAGUAAGGUACAGACUUGUGGAUCUGGACAUCUCACAUUUGCUCUUUAUUGGGUUGCUAAGGACACUGAACAGUUUGGCUGGGCCACUGCACGCCCUGGCUAAUCAGGAAGUGUUGCCAUGGAUCAAAUCUGUAAUGGAAGAGACUAGGAGUAACAUUACAACCGACCAACUUAAAGUAUAUGUAUGGAAGACACUGAAGAGUGGAAAGGUUGUAGUGAUUAGAGAGAAGCUUGCAGAACUGUAUGAAUCUGAACAAGAAUGGUUGAGAGCAGCACAAAUGCUUAGUGGCAUUGACUUGGACUCAGGAAUCAGAUUGAAACAAGCUUUUGUCUCUGUUUACAUGUCAUUGGAUUUUCUAAGUCUGGGAAAUCUGACCAUCUUCUUAAAAACCAGGAUGCUUGAUGACACAAACAAAUUAUCCAAGUGCGUCCAGAUUGCACGACUCUAUUUGGAGUGCUGCUGUAUAACAUGCACAAUAUUGGCUGGUGCUGGCCCACAACGCUCUCGUGUUUUUGCUACAUUGUACAAGGUUGUUCCUGGCUGUGGUCAUGGAGUUCUACAUAAUACAGACCAAAGAUAUUCAUGCCAAAGGGAGUUCGCAUUGAAAUAUUUACCCGAGGACCCACUUCUCCAACUGUCUCAGUGCAACAUAUUAUUAUUCCCUUUUAGGAACGAAGAUCUGAAUCACCCUCACCCGAGGACCCACUUCUCCAACUGUAUGGGCCAACAAAAUGGUCUCAUUGCAAGGUGGACGUAUAUGCAAGCAAUGUCAAGAGAGAUAGAAGCUUGGACUAUUGAGAAACAUGCACUGAUUAAUGCCCAUUGGGUAUAUGGGAAUAAAUGGGCAGAAAUGGCAAAAGUUCUUCCUAGAAGGAAUCAGGUACUUCUAUUUGUUCUCAGGUUCUUCUCACCUAUAGCUAAAGUCAAAGACGACAAACCAAGUGGAUUAUUGGAGUUGCAAGAUACACAAAAUCAUCAGUAA
Molecule: ribosomal RNA, 1065 nt
Filed under: Triticum aestivum (bread wheat)
Lineage: Eukaryota; Viridiplantae; Streptophyta; Magnoliopsida; Poales; Poaceae
Description: partial small subunit ribosomal RNA
Source: RNAcentral